UACGUAGGGUGCGAGCGUUGUCCGGAAUUACUGGGCGUAAAGAGCGCGUAGGCGGUCCGAUAAGUCGGCUGUGAAAGUCAGGGGCUCAACCCUUGAAAGCCGGCCGAUACUGUCGGACUAGAGUUCGGAAGAGGCGAGUGGAAUUCCCGGUGUAGCGGUGAAAUGCGCAGAUAUCGGGAGGAACACCAAUGGCGAAGGCAGCUCGCUGGGACGUGACUGAAGCUGAGGCGCGAAAGCGUGGGGAGCAAACAGG
RNAcentral lists this ribosomal RNA (253 nucleotides) under uncultured bacterium. RNAcentral describes it as "partial 16S ribosomal RNA". It matches the Rfam family "Bacterial small subunit ribosomal RNA", at positions 524 to 776 of the family's 1533-position model. The record is from RNAcentral.